GGGAAGGUGGCUCAGUGGUAGAGUGCUUGCCUAGCAUGCAUGAUGCCUGGGGCAUGAGGGGCACAGACCUUCCUG
RNAcentral lists this transfer RNA (75 nucleotides) under Dipodomys ordii (Ord's kangaroo rat). It matches the Rfam family "tRNA". Rfam says of the family: Transfer RNA (tRNA) molecules are approximately 80 nucleotides in length. Their secondary structure includes four short double-helical elements and three loops (D, anti-codon, and T loops). The record is from Rfam by way of RNAcentral. Lineage: Eukaryota; Metazoa; Chordata; Mammalia; Rodentia; Heteromyidae.